This 77-nucleotide transfer RNA is filed under the name Pseudomonas aeruginosa. RNAcentral describes it as "tRNA-Tyr". RNAcentral also lists the same sequence under 2 other names. Lineage: Bacteria; Pseudomonadati; Pseudomonadota; Gammaproteobacteria; Pseudomonadales; Pseudomonadaceae. The record is from RNAcentral.
GCCGUCGUCGUCGAGCACGCGAACCAGGCUGUAGGCCAGGUCGCUGGUCUCGGCGGGUUCGACGUCCACCGGCGGCU